Molecule: ribosomal RNA, 253 nt
Filed under: uncultured bacterium
Lineage: Bacteria
Description: partial 16S ribosomal RNA
Rfam family: Bacterial small subunit ribosomal RNA
Source: RNAcentral
UACGUAGGGGGCGAGCGUUGUCCGGAGUUACUGGGCGUAAAGCGCACGCAGGCGGUCUGCUAAGUUUGGAGUGACAGUUGGUGGCUUAACUGCCAAAGUGCUUCGAAAACUGACAGACUUGAGGGCUUCAGAGGGACACGGAAUUCCGGGUGGAGUGGUGAAAUGCGCAGAUAUCAGGAGGAACACCGGUGGCGAAGGCGGGUCUCUGGGCCGAUACUGACGCUGAGGAGCGAAAGCGUGGGGAGCGAACAGG